RNAcentral lists this ribosomal RNA (253 nucleotides) under uncultured bacterium. RNAcentral describes it as "partial 16S ribosomal RNA". It matches the Rfam family "Bacterial small subunit ribosomal RNA", at positions 524 to 776 of the family's 1533-position model. The record is from RNAcentral.
UACGAAGGGGGCUAGCGUUGUUCGGAAUCACUGGGCGUAAAGCGCACGUAGGCGGACUUUUAAGUCAGGGGUGAAAUCCCGAGGCUCAACCUCGGAACUGCCUUUGAUACUGGGAGUCUUGAGUGUGGUAGAGGUAGGUGGAACAGCAAGUGUAGAGGUGAAAUUCGUAGAUAUUUGCUAGAACACCAGUGGCGAAGGCGGCCUACUGGACCACAACUGACGCUGAGGUGCGAAAGCGUGGGGAGCAAACAGG